UGGAUCUCAGCACAGAUCCUGGUGAAGAGGUAAGGCCAGAGUAAUGGAUCUCAGCACAGAUCCUGGUGAAGAGGUAAGGCCAGAGUAAUAGAUGUAGAAACAUACUGGUGAAGAGGUAAGGGCAGAGUAAUGGAUCUCAGCACAGAUCCUGGUGAAGAGGUAAGGCCAGAGUAAUGGAUCUCAGCACAGAUCCUGGAGAAGAGGUAAGGCCAGAGUAAUGGAUGUUGAAGAGGUACAAUCUUAGAUAAAAAGGUGCUAUCAAAAAGCGUUCUUCAGCUGUCCCCAUAGAUCAGUGGUCACCAACCGAUCUUUUGACUGGCCCAUCUUCAAGGCAUUCCUAGUCGAUCUACAAACAUUUAUGUAGAAGAAAAAAAACCUUAAGGCGAUUCUUUAAAAUAAUAUAUAUUAUUAGUGUAAAAAUAAAUAAAUAUAUAUAUAUAUUAUUCGUGUAAAAAUACAAAUUUAAAUAUAUAUUAUUAGUGAAAAAAGUCAAAAUAAAUAUGAAUAUAUAUUAUUAGUGCUCCGCUGUUAUAUCGGUUGGUGCACUUGAUUCAGAAGCCCUGCACACCAUUUAUAACCAUUUAAUUUGUCUGAAAAGACCAACUCUACCUACCUGGCGAACUGGGAGAUAUGUAGCUAAAUCGAGUGCGUAUACUGUGCUGGCCAAUUCGAUAGCUCACCUACCUUCCACGACCCCAGCCACAGCAACGUGUGAGAGCAGAUAUUAAAAUCUUACCCUACGAGGUCCUGAGUACUAGCUGAUAGUUAACUUCACCCACCUGGUUAUAGUUCCGUUUCAGUCUCUGAUUAAAAAGGGAGGAAUACAAAUCAGUGGAACUGGCUUCAGGGUCCUAGAGUCACACCCCAUUUAUACCCAAGGAGAGUAUGGAGGAAAGGAUCUGCCACAGAACAGCGCCUUUGGAACAUCUGAGGGUUUAACGGUCUUGCUCCUAGGGCAGAACAGCAGGAAAUGAGGACUAGGACAACUGAUGACAGCAAGUAAUAGCAGCAGUAGCCCACUGGCCAGGGGAGGAGGGCAGCAGUAGCCCACUGGCCAGGGGAGGAGGG
This is a long non-coding RNA of Oncorhynchus tshawytscha (Chinook salmon), 1068 nucleotides long. The record is from Ensembl. NCBI's taxonomy places the organism in Eukaryota, Metazoa, Chordata, Actinopteri, Salmoniformes, Salmonidae.